RNAcentral lists this ribosomal RNA (420 nucleotides) under uncultured beta proteobacterium. Its description in RNAcentral is "bacterial SSU rRNA". It matches the Rfam family "Bacterial small subunit ribosomal RNA", at positions 500 to 918 of the family's 1533-position model. Lineage: Bacteria; Pseudomonadati; Pseudomonadota; Betaproteobacteria. The record is from RNAcentral.
UCUACGGGAGGCAGCAGCCGCGGUAAUACGUAGGGUGCAAGCGUUAAUCGGAAUUACUGGGCGUAAAGCGUGCGCAGGCGGUUCGCUAAGACAGAUGUGAAAUCCCCGGGCUUAACCUGGGAACUGCAUUUGUGACUGCAGCGCUGGAGUAUGGCAGAGGGGGGUGGAAUUCCACGUGUAGCAGUGAAAUGCGUAGAGAUGUGGAGGAAUACCGAUGGCGAAGGCAGCCCCCUGGGCCAAUACUGACGCUCAUGCACGAAAGCGUGGGGAGCAAACAGGAUUAGAUACCCUGGUAGUCCACGCCCUAAACGAUGUCAACUAGUUGUCGGGUCUUCAUUGACUUGGUAACGUAGCUAACGCGUGAAGUUGACCGCCUGGGGAGUACGGUCGCAAGAUUAAAACUCAAAUGAAUUGACGGGG